UUUCUUCUUAGACAUGGCAGCU
This 22-nucleotide microRNA is filed under the name Homo sapiens (human). RNAcentral's name for it is "hsa-miR-4659b-3p". The record is from miRBase by way of RNAcentral. Lineage: Eukaryota; Metazoa; Chordata; Mammalia; Primates; Hominidae.